CUGCCUUUUGCAGAUUGUUGACUUUAACUCGAACGCGCUUCGAGAGUCCACGCUUUGCGUUACGCAGAGUGAGAGAGCGAGCGAGAGUGGGAAGGAGAGCGAACCCUACCCUUUCGUGCCUAUAUACUCUACGCCUCAUCGUCCUAUCCUCUACCCUCUUGUGGGUUAACUCCCCUCUCGAUUAUAAGGGUCAACGUUUGGUACCGGACAUUGUUGACGUUCGGCGUUGCGUAUAACCACUGGCGUUGCAUAAUAAAGUAGAAAAACGUGAAGUUGAAUGAAAGUGGAAAGAAAAAAAAUAUAUGGGUGAGAUAAAAGGUUACCUUUUUUUUUAACAAGAAUAAACUUGGACGGAAUCGGUCUCAAAAGUGUAAAUUUUUUAAAUACCGCCGAACAACGUACUCCAGGUGCAACGAGUGGCGAAUCGAGGGUCGAUCAAAAAUCUAGGUACGUACUGGUGAGAUCAGAAGACCACUUGUAUAAAAAGAUGUAAAACGUAAUAAAAAGAAAGACGACACGAUUCAGAAGGGAAUUAUGCAGAUUGCAGGCUUGGGUCUGAUGGGGCCUGAUGGGACUGGGGGACUACGUGAUGGAGCCACGACGUGCCGGGCAUAUAUCGGUACUACAGGGAAUACCGUACGCUAUACGGAGACUAGAGAGAUCGUCGUAUAGAGGAUAUUUAAUAAAGUGUCACGUAAACAAUUGUAAAUAGGUUCGGUACUAAUUUCUUGGUGCAUUCCUGUUCAGGGUCCCGGAAAGAUGGAUAUACCAGUGUUCGAUAGAAGAAAAAAGGAAGAUAUCUUUCCAGAGGACAGUUAAUAAAGAUAAAGAUAAAUAAUACACGUAAUGAACGAUAAGGCCCGUUCGAUUGUCGGUGAAAUGACGCUGUGAAAAAUGAAAUAAGAGGAAAGGAGAGGGUAGAGGAAAAAAGGAUUAUAUCGGUAUGUAUGUCCUGGUCGUCGGUACUUUUCUAGUACCCCCGACCGAUUCCUGAGGCCCCCGGGGCACCGAAGGCCCCAAAGGCCUCUCCUCCCAUUUACUCCCAUAGCAAACGGACAGCCUACAUACUUCUGUCCGGCGUGCAAGUCAUUCCGUGUGAGGCCCCGCAGGAAACAUAGAGGGUUAUCUGGUUACUUGGAUAUAUCAGGCUUAAGCGUUCAUUACGUACGUGCCCGGCGGUCCUCAGUGCGGAGCGCAAAACCCAGGUGCCUCCGAGCAAUGAAUACUGACAGUGCUAUCGUUUCUUGUGGGUCCUGACAGCAGCGUUAUACCAAGACGGGCCCUAUAUCGACGUGACGCCAUUACUACGGAUUCCCAGUGACUAUUUUCAUUCGAGGAAGAUGCCUUCACACUGAUUUGCACGCACAUUCACGAUCCGGUUUACCUAUCUUGUCCAAUAAACAUCACUCGCCCAUUACCCAGUCGCCAUUUCUGAACGCAAGGAAUGCCGGGAGUAACAAAUCCACGCUGAGCAUUGUGGGAGUUUACGGAACCAGUGUUAGAAUACCUCUGGGCCUUGUUCGAAUUCUCGUAAU
This is a long non-coding RNA of Cephus cinctus (wheat stem sawfly), 1535 nucleotides long. RefSeq lists it as uncharacterized. The transcript has 3 exons. The record is from RefSeq and is a predicted model, not a curated record. NCBI's taxonomy places the organism in Eukaryota, Metazoa, Arthropoda, Insecta, Hymenoptera, Cephidae.